Molecule: long non-coding RNA, 2063 nt
Filed under: Panax ginseng (ginseng)
Lineage: Eukaryota; Viridiplantae; Streptophyta; Magnoliopsida; Apiales; Araliaceae
Description: long non-coding RNA (PGIN_LNC006693)
Source: RNAcentral
UCAGUCAAUCCAUUGCAAAAAUUAAUAAUAUCAUUUCCAAAAGAAUAUUAUACACUAAAAUUAGCGUAGAAAAUACAAAAAAAAACCUCAAAAGAUAUAUAAUCCAUAUUCGCAAGUAUUUAGAGACCAACAUAUGAAAGUGAUGGGUAAAAAAUUUAAGUAUUAUCCCCAUAUUACACCGAACAUGCAGUCCAUAGCCACAAAUGGAGUGCUCCAUUAUCCAUGAUUCAGCCAAUAAAACGAUAUUGAUAAUUCAUGUAACUAAUUCAACUUAACGUAUGUUACUUCACUUGUUCAUAGGAGCAAGAUUUUCUGUGCAUACUUCAUGAACUAUGUAGUUGAUUAUGCCAAAAAUGUAAAACUCUCACGCUUGAGGUCAAUAGGGUUGAUCAAAUGUACAAUUCUUUCUUGAAACUACAAUGAGGAGGUUAAGAAUUAGAACAAAUUAUAUGAAAUCCAAAAGGAUUUUAAAAUAUUAAGUUUCAUAAUGUAUGACAAUAAGAUUAUGCCUAAAAUAUACCAUAAUAGAAUUUAUAAUAAAGAAUAAUUAUAAAACACGUACUUCUCUGAUCAAUUUGAAUCCUGCCCAACAGAAGGGUCACGUGUUUAGAAAUUAGAGCAAAUUAAUUAUUACUUUUAAAGUCUGCUUUUAAUAUUGAGAGCAAGCAAAUUGUAAGCAAUAAAACCUCAAUGUGGUCUAUAAUAAAAAAACUACAGAUAAAGUUUGUACAAAUGAAUAAUAAAAGCUUAGAGAAUCCUCCUGUAGUCUAUAAUAAAACCUCAAUGUGGGCCUAUAAUAAAAACUCAAUAAUAUAUAGGUACCUUUAUACAGAUACUGUUAUUAGCUUUUAUGUAAUACCCACCUCAUCUCAUAUGCUUCAAUUAUAGCUCAUCAGAUCUCACAACUAAAUCAGAAAACUUAUCAUACAACCAGAAAAAGUAACUUAAACAUUAAUUUACCUUUUGCUUAUAGGCCCUCAAGAGUUCCAAGGGUACAACUAUACAUGAACGGUACAGCUAUACAUGAACUUAAGCUAAACUGAUCAUGCAUGUCUUUGUAUGCAAAUAUAGUUAUGGACUAUGUAACGCCCCAGAACUUCCUUUACCAAUAGACAUUACUCAAGAAAAUUCACUCCCAUUCUGUUGGCUUCCUCAUCAGAUUUUAAUAGAUCACCUAAUUUAGAAACGCCGACAAGAACUAUUAUUAAAGAAGUGGUGCAAGUCGUGCAACUUGUGGAAAUUGAGAAUAUUAUUUUUCUACUUUUAAGUUGUAACAAGGUAUGUAGCAUGUAUGCAGUAAUGCUAUACAAUAGUUGUCUUGGCUAAUGCCUCUCUAUUUCUUCAAAACAUUAUCUGGGACAAAAGAUAUUUCAUAUCUCAGCUAGCAUAUUAUUCUUAAUAUAUCAUUUUGGCAUUUUCACAAAUACCUUACAUGCAUACAUUGAAAAUUUUCAUAUUUCAUGAAAUCAAUGUAUAUAUAAACAUCCUCCAUAACCAAUUCACCUCAUUUCUUCUGAACCCUUCAUGGUUCCUCAUCAAUUAAAUUUUCCCACAACCAAUUUCAGUCACAAUUCAUAUAUUAAUUAACUGGAAAAUUGAAACAAAACUAAUUCCUUGAAUAAAAAUACUUCUAAACUUUAAUUGAAGUUUAAAUGACUUACAUCUUGAUUAAAGCUUAAAUUAAGCUUUCUCCUUGGUGUAAUCUGCUCACAAUCUUCUUCAAAUCAAAUUUUGAAUCAAUAAUUUCUACUAUUUUUCUAACUUUGAAUAUGGGAUUUUGUGUGCAGCAAUUACGCAUCCGUGAACUCCUCUACUUGCUAAUUACUUUCAAUUUUAUGAAACUUAUGGCAACUAGGAAAGGAAGGCAUGAAGGAGAAGGAACGGAUGGUAGGUCAGGGGGAGAAUUUUUUUUCUUUAGGACAGAUAAAAGAGAGCAGGGUAGAGAAUGAAUAAGGUUUACGAAGCAUUUCCUUUAUAUUCCAGAUAAUUACUUGGUGUCUAUUAUUAUGCUAAUUGUUCAACACAUCCUGCUUAAUAACAUGACACAUCCUUUAAUAUACAGC